AGAGUAAAAUAGUACGUGAAAUUGUUGAAAGGGAAACGAUUGAAGUCAGUCGUACCGACGGAAAAUCAGCUCUUCGAGUGCGAACUUGUGGGCGUACGUGAGCUUUAACCGGCCUCGUUGUUUGCGAUGUUUGUGCUUUUUGGGUGUAUUUUUUCGUAUGGUUGGCCAACGUCAGUCUCGGUUACCAUAAAAUGAUCGGAGGAAUGUAGUUUCGAUCUUGUAUUGAAGUGUUAUAGCCUCUGGUAGAUGUGGUAAACGAAACUGAGGAUUGCAACGAAUACCCUUCGGGCUAUCCGUCUGACCUCUGAAAGUUGCUUGGGUGCCGAAAGCUUGCUUACGGUCAUCCAUGACGACGGUCAAAAGGUUAGAACGUGAUUACAUUCGUUAAGGACGUUGGCGUAAUGGCUUUAAACGACC
This 417-nucleotide non-coding RNA is filed under the name uncultured fungus. Lineage: Eukaryota; Fungi. RNAcentral also lists the same sequence under 1 other name. The record is from RNAcentral.